RNAcentral lists this unclassified non-coding RNA (25 nucleotides) under Mus musculus (house mouse). RNAcentral describes it as "oocyte_clustered_small_RNA1875". The record is from RNAcentral. Lineage: Eukaryota; Metazoa; Chordata; Mammalia; Rodentia; Muridae.
UAAUCCUCAGCUAGCUGAAACUGGG